RNAcentral lists this ribosomal RNA (1982 nucleotides) under human metagenome. RNAcentral's name for it is "bacterial LSU rRNA". It matches the Rfam family "Bacterial large subunit ribosomal RNA", at positions 1 to 1980 of the family's 2925-position model. The record is from RNAcentral.
GAAAGUAACUAAGGGCGUAUGGCGGAUGCCUAGGCUCACGGAGGCGAUGAAGGACGUGAUAAGCUGCGAUAAGCUUUGGGUAGGUGCAAAUGACCUUUGAUCCAGAGAUUUCCGAAUGGGACAACCCAGCACUCUGAAGGAGUGCUAUCCUGAUUUUCGUUCAGGAGGCUAACGCAGGGAACUGAAACAUCUUAGUACCUGCAGGAAAAGAAAAUAAUUUAAUGAUUCCCCCAGUAGUGGCGAGCGAACGGGGAAGAGCCCAAACCCACGACGUAGCAAUGCGCCGUGGGGGUUGUAGGACCACGUUGUCGUACUCUGAUUGUGAGGAGAACGUUCUGGAAAGAACGACCGUAGCGGGUGACAGUCCCGUAUCCGAAGCAUGAUGAGGCGUAGUGUCAUCCUGAGUAGCGCGGAACACGAGUAAUUCUGCGUGAAUCUGCCGGGCCCAUCCGGUAAGGCUAAAUACUCCCGUGAGACCGAUAGUGAAGUUAGUACCGUGAGGGAAAGGUGAAAAGCACUCCUAUUAGGAGAGUGAAAUAGUUCCUGAAACCAUACGCCUACAAGCGGUCGGAGCAUAUUUUUGUAUGUGACGGCGUGCCUUUUGCAUAAUGAACCUACGAGUUACCAUGCCCAGCGAGGUUAAGGGGUUCAGCCCCGUAUCCGCAGUGAAAGCGAGCCUGAACAGGGCGUUUAGUUGGGUGGGGUAGACGCGAAACCAAGUGAUCUACACUUGACCAGGUUGAAGUUCCGGUAACACGGAAUGGAGGACCGCACGGAUAAGCGUUGAAAAGCUUCCCGAUGAGUUGAGUGUAGGAGUGAAAGGCCAAUCAAACUUGGAGAUAGCUCGUACUCCCCGAAAGGCAUUUAGGUGCCGCGUGCGAUGUUCUCCGUGAGAGGUAGAGCGACCGAUAGGUCAAGAGGGCUUCACCGCCUAUCGAGACCUGACGAACUCCGAAUGCUCACGGACUGUAGUCGUGCAGUAAGGGGGCGGGUGCUAAGGUCCGUCCCCGAGAGGAGAAGAAUCCUGACCGUCGUCUAAGGUCCCCAAAUUCUGUCUAAGUUAGUCUAACGAAGUCUGGUCCCGGUGACAGCUAGGAUGUUGGCUUGGAAGCAGCCAUUCAUUCAAAGAGUGCGUAACAGCUCACUAGUCGAGGGUCCGGGCGUGGAUAAUAAUCGGGUAUGAAGUCAGAUACCGAAGGCGCGGGAUAGCAAUGUAUAUUAAAAGUAUCGGUAGGGGAGCAUUCCAUAUGCGUUGAAUGGUGAUGGUGAUUGAUCCUGGAGCGUAUGGAAAAGCAAAUGUAGGUAUAAGUAACGAUAAAGGGGGUAAGAUUCCCCCUCGCCGUAAGACUAAGGUUUCCCGGGCGAUGCCAAUCAUCCCGGGGUUAGUCGGGUCCUAAGUCUCAGCCGAACGGCGAUGGCGAUGGCAGACACGGUCAAUAUUCCGUGACUUGCCCAUUCAGCGAUGUGGAGACGGAGCAGUGACACUGUCGCGCCCUUACGGAUAUGGGCGUUGAAGGCUUUAGGCUAUGAUGGGUGCAGGCAAAUCCACACCCUGAGCUGAUGGUCGAUAGUACGGUUUUCCCCUCGGGGCGAACCGAUAGCACAGGUAAUCAUACUUCCAAGAAAAUCCGCUAAGCUCAAUGUUUGGGCAACCCGUACCGCAAACGGACACACGUAGUCGGGUAGAACAUACUAAGGCGUUGAGAGAUUCAUGGUUAAGGAACUAGGCAAACUGACCCCGUAACUUCGGGAUAAGGGGUCCUCGUUUUUUACGAGGCGCAGAGAAUAGGUCCAGGCAACUGUUUAACAAAAACACAGGGCUGUGCUAACUCGAGAGAUGAUGUAUACAGCCUGACACCUGCCCGGUGCUGGAAGGUUAAGAGGAGAGCUCAGACUUUUGUCGAAGGUUUGAAUUGAAGCCCCAGUAAACGGCGGCCGUAACUAUAACGGUCCUAAGGUAGCGAAAUUCCUUGUCGGGUAAG